RNAcentral lists this unclassified non-coding RNA (300 nucleotides) under uncultured fungus. RNAcentral's name for it is "partial contains small subunit ribosomal RNA, internal transcribed spacer 1, and 5.8S ribosomal RNA". The stretch from base 1 to 73 matches the Rfam family "Eukaryotic small subunit ribosomal RNA", at positions 1759 to 1831 of the family's 1831-position model. The record is from RNAcentral. Lineage: Eukaryota; Fungi.
GCAAACUUGGUCAUUUAGAGGAAGUAAAAGUCGUAACAAGGUUUCCGUAGGUGAACCUGCGGAAGGAUCAUUACCGAGUGCGGGCCCUCGUGGCCCAACCUCCCACCCUUGUCUCUAUACACCUGUUGCUUUGGCGGGCCCACCGGGGCCACCUGGUCGCCGGGGGACGUUCGUCCCCGGGCCCGUGCCCGCCGAAGCGCUCUGUGAACCCUGAUGAAGAUGGGCUGUCUGAGUACUAUGAAAAUUGUCAAAACUUUCAACAAUGGAUCUCUUGGUUCCGGCAUCGAUGAAGAACGCAGC